Molecule: ribosomal RNA, 588 nt
Filed under: Aschersonia andropogonis
Lineage: Eukaryota; Fungi; Ascomycota; Sordariomycetes; Hypocreales; Clavicipitaceae
Description: SSU rRNA
Rfam family: Bacterial small subunit ribosomal RNA
Source: RNAcentral
UCUUCCGGGUAGGUAGUAGUUAAGGUGAUGGCUUAACUAGCCAAAAACUCUCGUAGUCGAAGCUGAAAGGUUGAUCGACCACAUUGGGUCUGAAAAAACCCCAAUGCAAGUUAGUACAGCAGUGAGGAAUCUUGGUCAAUGGCCUAACGGCUGAACUGGCAACUUGGAGAAGUGGCAAGUCUUAUUUUGAUUAUAUUACAAUAUAUAAUCUAUAAGAUUGUAUUAAAAUUGAAUAAAGCUUUGUUUAUAUAUUGAUAAUGACAGUAUAUAUAUCGUGUCUUGACUAAUUACGUGCCAGCAGUCGCGGUAAUACGUAAGAGACUAGUGUUAUUCAUCUUGAUUAGGUUUAAAGGGUACCUAGACGGUCAAUAUAUCUUCUAAAAUGUUAGUACUUGACUAGAGUUUGAUAUAAGAGGGCAGUACUUGAGGAGGAGAGAUGAAAUUCUAUUAUACCAAAGGGACUCGGUAAAGGCGAAGGCAGCCCUCUAUGUAAAAACUGACGUUGAAGGACGAAGGCACAGAGCACAAACAGGAUUAGAUACCCAAGUAGUCUUUGCAGUAAAUGAUGAAUGCCAUAGGUUUAGAUUA